GCCCCAUUAGCGCAGUGGUAGCGCGUUGCUCUUAUACUUUGGCUUCUGGUUGUCCAGCGCCCAUAGAUAUGCAAAGGCCGUGAGUUCGACCCUCACAUGGAGCA
This is a non-coding RNA of Xylariaceae sp. FL0255, 104 nucleotides long. The record is from the annotation of a GenBank genome assembly. Lineage: Eukaryota; Fungi; Ascomycota; Sordariomycetes; Xylariales; Xylariaceae.